This 583-nucleotide ribosomal RNA is filed under the name uncultured bacterium. RNAcentral's name for it is "bacterial SSU rRNA". It matches the Rfam family "Bacterial small subunit ribosomal RNA", at positions 338 to 916 of the family's 1533-position model. The record is from RNAcentral.
CCUACGGGAGGCAGCAGUGGGGAAUUUUGGACAAUGGGCGCAAGCCUGAUCCAGCCAUGCCGCGUGCGGGAAGAAGGCCUUCGGGUUGUAAACCGCUUUUGUCAGGGAAGAAAUCCUUUGGGCUAAUACCUCGGAGGGAUGACGGUACCUGAAGAAUAAGCACCGGCUAACUACGUGCCAGCAGCCGCGGUAAUACGUAGGGUGCGAGCGUUAAUCGGAAUUACUGGGCGUAAAGCGUGCGCAGGCGGUUAUGCAAGACAGAUGUGAAAUCCCCGGGCUUAACCUGGGAACUGCAUUUGUGACUGCAUAGCUCGAGUACGGCAGAGGGGGAUGGAAUUCCGCGUGUAGCAGUGAAAUGCGUAGAUAUGCGGAGGAACACCGAUGGCGAAGGCAAUCCCCUGGGCCUGUACUGACGCUCAUGCACGAAAGCGUGGGGAGCAAACAGGAUUAGAUACCCUGGUAGUCCACGCCCUAAACGAUGUCAACUGGUUGUUGGACGGCUUGCUGUUCAGUAACGAAGCUAACGCGUGAAGUUGACCGCCUGGGGAGUCGGCCGCAAGGUUGAAACUUAAGGAAUUGACGG